UUUUUUUCCGAGUCUGAUCUUAUUUAUUUGUUACUCAAAAAGUUAUUUCUGACUGGAUUCAGACUUAGAAGUAGAAGCUCGCAGAGAGGAAAGUCUGCGUCUCUUCGCAAUUUGUUCCUGGCGCUUCUCCUUAGCCUCCUUCAUUCUUUUGGCCAAAAGUUUAGCAUAUUCUGCAGCCUCUUCCUUGUUUAUCUUAGUACGCUGCUUCUUCAGAGCAAUACGCCGCCAUUUGUGCUGCAAGACACGUGGAGUAACAAGACGCUGAAUCUUGGGUGCUUUGGUCCUAGGUUUCUUACCUUCUUUGUUUAAGGGCUUUCUCACAACAUACUGGCGGACGUCAUCUUCUUUAGAGAGAUUGAAAAGUUUGUGGAUUCUGCUAGCUCUUUUCCGUGGCGCCUCGGAGGCGUUCAGCUGCUUGAAGAUGAAGCUGAACAUCUCCUUCCCAGCCACUGGCUGCCAGAAACUCAUUGAAGUGGACGAUGAACGCAAACUUCGUACUUUUUAUGAGAAGCGUAUGGCCACAGAAGUUGCUGCUGACGCUCUGGGUGAAGAAUGGAAGGGUUAUGUGGUCCGAAUCAGUGGUGGGAACGACAAACAAGGUUUCCCCAUGAAGCAGGGUGUCUUGACCCAUGGCCGUGUCCGCCUGCUGCUGAGUAAGGGGCAUUCCUGUUACAGACCAAGGAGAACGGGAGAAAGAAAGAGAAAAUCAGUUCGUGGUUGCAUUGUGGAUGCCAAUCUGAGCGUUCUCAACUUGGUUAUUGUAAAAAAAGGAGAGAAGGAUAUUCCUGGACUGACUGAUACUACAGUGCCUUGCCGCCUGGGCCCCAAAAGAGCU
RNA transcript from Rhinopithecus roxellana (golden snub-nosed monkey), 835 nucleotides. It is a transcript of the gene named 40S ribosomal protein S6 pseudogene, with no coding region annotated. The record is from RefSeq and is a predicted model, not a curated record. The transcript has a single exon. NCBI's taxonomy places the organism in Eukaryota, Metazoa, Chordata, Mammalia, Primates, Cercopithecidae.